AUGAAAUCAAGAUGGUCUUUGGUACAGGAGUCUUUGCAGUCCCAUCUCUUUGAGAGCAGUCCUCAAAAUGUGGUAAAAAAGAAUUGCAUUGAUCACAUUUCUCACAAUACAUCUAAGAGAAAACAUGAGAAGGAUGAGAAACAUUUAACACCCUCUGGCCCUCCCAUUCUGCAUUUCGGAUGACUGACAUUGUCUCCAGCCUCCUCUCAGCACAAUGAACAUCCCGGUGACUAAUCCAUGUGCCACAUCUGUUGCUGUGAUCAGAGGAGACAGGACCAGGACACAGAAGAAUAUCCGCCUAUUAGGUAGGCAGAGCUCUAGAAGGGGACUUGCGCUACUGCAAAAGAGAUUAAAUUAAAUGAUGAAACUUUGCAGUCCAUUGACUACGCUAGACCAACUACACUUUAUUCAGGGUUGUGAAGCUCUGAUGGAGAUUGGAAAAGCUGCCAAAGGGUCUGGAAUUACCUCUGUAUUGGAAUGGGAAGUUCCUGGUUCAAUACGAAAUUAGAAGGAUCAAAGAAAAUAAGGCUGGGUGUGAUCUUAAGGAAUCCUCUGGUCUAGACCAUGCAAUGUGCUGAGAGGCAUUCAUAGACAUCAAGGAGAUGCAGGGCUUGGGUUCAGGGCUGGAUCCUGGCUUUAGCAGCUCUAUGUUGUAAAAUUUUCAUAUCACAGGACAACCACAUAUCAAAGGGUUUGCACAGCCCUGCAUGCCUUUGGCAUGGGGGUGAACACACAGGAAUGAAGAGAGCUGAGGUGUGCCCGUUCUUCGCUGAGUACCAGAGGUCUUUCAUACAUCAGUGCAGCAUGAAAGAGGCUGGAGGUACAGGGCUGCAGAGACAUCAUCCAGUCAUGUCCAUCUUUUCUUCCACAGGAUCUUAUGCAGGGAAUAACUUAGUCAGCCCCAAGGAUUAAAGCUCUUCUGCCUUCACGUGCAGCACGCAGGCACACAGGGCUUCACUGUGCUGCUAUCCGUAUGCUGCGGAUACAGCAGGAUCAAUGCCAAGCUGUGGAUUAAAAUAGUAUUAACACCAUCUACUUUGGGACAUUGUACUGAGGCAGUUGUACCAUAAGCCAAGUCUUUCUGACUUAAGAAAAAUUACUAUCUGCAGUUUGCAUAGGGGCAGUCAAGAAAUUGGCUUCUUUCAGCAGCUGGAGAAAGGGAACACAAUUAGAAGACCAAAUACAGGGAACAACACUGGGAUACUUUGCUUCAGUAGGAUUUGUGCCCUGUGUAAGUUUACCUGCCACUGGUGACUCACCUUUGCUUAGAUUUCAUCUUAAUGGGAAUUUUCCCAGCCACUCUUUGUGAUGAGAAGAUGUAGAUAGAUCUAAUUCUUUUCAGCAAUUCAGUGCUUUUAGCUGCAAAACUACAAUGGAAUGAAAAAUGCAAUUUGGAAAAGAACCGAUGGUGUUUGUUUUGUUCUGUAGUUUCCCACUGAAAAAAAGGAUUUUUUUUCCCCCUGCUACUCAAAACACGGAAACGAAUUCUAACAACAGCUCACAAUUGGAAGGAAUUAACCAAGUAAAUACAUGAACUGCAACUUAGGAAAGCUGUUUUCAAAAGCCGUUUGCAGGAACUGCUGAAUCACUGCACCUCCUCAUUGCUCACCAGGUCACACUGCUCUGCUGGAGCAGCUUGUGGCUGCUGGCUUUGCUUGGACCUGUUGCACCGAUGGUCUGGUGCAAGAGCAGGACAAGCUCUUGCAGGACAUCUUACAUUGCAACAAAUGUACAGAUAUUUAUAGGAGCCUUUAAAAAACUGCCUAUCGCUCAUCUGGCUUCCUUGUUUCAGAGAUAAUGCGAUGAUUCCAACAUAUCCAGUCCUUCUCUAAUUUAAUGGUUUAAGAGUUUUAAGACCCACUACUCUCCCUCAUUUCAUAGGGGCUCUCCAGCUAAAUCUGGUGCUUUGGUAACUUUGAAAUUAAUCUCUGUGGUUUUCUUAGCAUUUAGAGGUUCAUUACUCCAUCCCAGGCAGAUACACAGCAAGCUCUGGCCUCAUAUUUCUACUGUUUCGUUUUACUUUCCUUCAGGGAUUUUUCUCUUUCCCCUUAAUCUUGCAGCUCGCAUCCUCAGGAAAAAAAAAUAAAUGCCAUGAACUUCAGGUUAAAUAAAACCGC
This 2117-nucleotide long non-coding RNA is filed under the name Calidris pygmaea (Spoon-billed sandpiper). RNAcentral describes it as "lncRNA (ENSCPGG00000003662.1)". The record is from RNAcentral. Lineage: Eukaryota; Metazoa; Chordata; Aves; Charadriiformes; Scolopacidae.